GACGAACGCUGGCGGCGUGCUUAACACAUGCAAGUCGAACGGUAAGGCCCUUCGGGGUACACGAGUGGCGAACGGGUGAGUAACACGUGGGUGAUCUGCCCUGCACUUCGGGAUAAGCCUGGGAAACCGGGUCUAAUACCGGAUAGGACCCUGGGAUGCAUGUCCUGGGGUGGAAAGCUUUUGCGGUGUGGGAUGGGCCCGCGGCCUAUCAGCUUGUUGGUGGGGUGAUGGCCUACCAAGGCGACGACGGUAGCCGGCCUGAGAGGGUGACCGGCCACACUGGGACUGGGAUACGGCCCAGACUCCUACGGGAGGCAGCAGUGGGGAAUAUUGCACAAUGGGCGCAAGCCUGAUGCAGCGACGCCGCGUGAGGGAUGACGGCCUUCGGGUUGUAAACCUCUUUCAGCACCGACGAAGCGCAAGUGACGGUAGGUGCAGAAGAAGGACCGGCCAACUACGUGCCAGCCGCCGCAGUAA
RNAcentral lists this ribosomal RNA (477 nucleotides) under uncultured bacterium. RNAcentral's name for it is "partial 16S ribosomal RNA". It matches the Rfam family "Bacterial small subunit ribosomal RNA", at positions 28 to 523 of the family's 1533-position model. The record is from RNAcentral.